GCGGUAAUUCAAGCUCCAAUAGCGUAUAUGUAAAUUGUUGCGGUUGAAAAGCUCGUAGUUGGACUUCUGGCGACCGCGUUCGGUCCGCCAAGCGCGUGCACUGUCCGCGGUCGUCGUUUCUGUCGACGUGGCGCGUCGGCCUUAGUUGGUCGGUGCGUCGUCUGUCGGCGAUGUUACUUUGAGGAAAUCAGAGUGCUCAAGGCAAGCGUUCGCUCGUGACUUCACUAGCAUGGAAUAACACAGAUGGGCUCUUUCUCGCACUGUUGGUCUGCGUCAAUUGAGCAACGAUCGAUAGAGACGGUCGGGGGCAUUCGUAUUGCGCAGUUAGAGGUGAAAUUCUCCGAUCUGCGCAAGACGCACUAAUGCGAAAGCAGUUGCCAAGGACGUCCUCUUAUGAUCAAGAGCGAAAGUCGGGGGAUCAAAGAUGAUUAGAUACCGUCGUAGUCCCGACCAUAAAUGAUGCCGACUGAGCUUCGGCGACUCGACCUCAGGUCGUACGUCGGCGCUCUUAGAGAAAUUAAAGUCUUUGGGCUCCGGGGGUAGUAUGGUCGCAAGUCUGAAACUUGAAGGAAUUGACGGAAGGGCACCACAAGGCGUGGAUGUUGCGGCUUAAUUUGACUCAACACGGGAAAGCUUACUAGGUUUGGACACCUUUGUGAUGGACAGAUUGAAGCUCUUACCCUACUGCGUGGAUGGUGGUGCAUGGUCGUUCUCAGCCCGUGGGUUGACCUGUCAGGUUUACUCCGGUAACGCGCGAGACCUCGGUCUGCUAAAUAGACGCGGCUGUUCCGGCACCCGCGCUCUUCUUAGAGAGAGACUCGACGAGAGUCGAGGGAAGUCGAGGCAAUAACAGAUCUGUGAUGCCCUUAGUUAUCCUAGGUCGCACGCGCCAUACAAUGUGGYGCACAACGAGUCUCCUUGGCCGACAGGAUCUGGGCAAUCUGGCAGAGCGCUACGUGACUGGGCUAGACUUUUGUAAUUUUUGGUCUUGAACGAGGAAUGCCUAGUAAUCGCAGGUCAGCAUCCUGCGAUGAUUCGGUCCCUGCCCUUUGUACACACCGCCCGUCGCUCCAUCCGUGGCAUGCGCCGGUGAAGAGGGGGAGGCAGCGUCGGCCGGGUAACACCGGAUCGUACGUGGAACCCCUCUGAACCUUCGCACGUAGAGGAAGGAGAAGUCGUAACAAGGUUUUCGUAGGUGAACCUGCGAAAGGAUCAUUAUCGGCAC
This 1225-nucleotide ribosomal RNA is filed under the name Halimeda minima. RNAcentral's name for it is "SSU rRNA". It matches the Rfam family "Eukaryotic small subunit ribosomal RNA". Lineage: Eukaryota; Viridiplantae; Chlorophyta; Ulvophyceae; Bryopsidales; Halimedaceae. The record is from RNAcentral.